This is a non-coding RNA of Pogona vitticeps (central bearded dragon), 328 nucleotides long. The record is from RefSeq and is a predicted model, not a curated record. Lineage: Eukaryota; Metazoa; Chordata; Lepidosauria; Squamata; Agamidae.
UUACAGGUGCACAAAAGCAGACCAAAGGGCCAAGCCUAAACCUUAGGAGUCAAGUGCUAAAAAUUUGCAGAAGUCUCAGCUUCACCAGAUCAAAAAUAGAGACACCACAGAGAGAAGUGUUUGUUGGAGAAUAUAAACUUGAUUCCAACACAAAGAUGAAUGCCUGGGAAGAGCUUCCUGCUUCACACCUUGUGCUUCACCGCUUCGUCCCAACUGGUGCAACGUGGCAUGAAACACACCUGGGAAGACAAGGCAUCCAUCAUUGGUGGUGUGAGACCCAGACUGUCAGGCCAGGCCAGGCCCACAUAUAACGGCAUUUGUGAUUGAU